Molecule: unclassified non-coding RNA, 247 nt
Filed under: uncultured Streptococcus sp.
Lineage: Bacteria; Bacillati; Bacillota; Bacilli; Lactobacillales; Streptococcaceae
Description: partial ribonuclease P RNA
Rfam family: Bacterial RNase P class B
About the family: Ribonuclease P (RNase P) is a ubiquitous endoribonuclease, found in archaea, bacteria and eukarya as well as chloroplasts and mitochondria.
Source: RNAcentral
GUGCAAUUUUUGGAUAAUCGCGUGAAGAGUCGUCUUUCAUUGAGGAAAGUCCAUGCUAGCACGGGCUGUGAUGCCCGUAGUGUUUUGCGUAGGUGAAAUAAGCCUAGGGACGAGAAAUCGUUACGGCGGACGAAACAGCUACGUCUCUGGAUAUGCUGGAAUAGUCCUGAAAGUGCCCCAGUGACGUAGUUUUUGUGGAAACGCAAAAAGUGGAACGCGGUAAACCCCUCAAGCUAGCAACCCAAAC